This 367-nucleotide ribosomal RNA is filed under the name Tetragonula fuscobalteata. RNAcentral's name for it is "partial 16S ribosomal RNA". The record is from RNAcentral. Lineage: Eukaryota; Metazoa; Arthropoda; Insecta; Hymenoptera; Apidae.
AUACACUGUCUCAUAUAUAUUUCACUAACUUAAAAUUUUAAUUAAAAUGUUAAAAUUUUUUUAUGGGACGAUAAGACCCUAUAGAAUUUUAUAUUGUUACAUCUUAAUAGUUAAUAUAAAAAAUGUAACAACAUUUGGUUGGGAGGACUAUUAAAUUUUAUGAACUUUAAUUUCUGAUAACUUUAAUUAAAGAAAAUUCUUAAUGAUCUUCAAGUUGAAAUAGCUAGACUAAAUUACCUUAGGGAUAACAGCGUAAUAUUUUUUUAUAGAUCGUAUAGAAAAAAGUGAUUGCGACCUCGAUGUUGAAUUAAGAUAAAUUUUAAACGCAGGAGUUUAAUAAUUAAGUCUGUUCGACUUUUAAAAUCUU